RNAcentral lists this ribosomal RNA (1186 nucleotides) under metagenome. RNAcentral's name for it is "SSU rRNA". It matches the Rfam family "Eukaryotic small subunit ribosomal RNA", at positions 493 to 1720 of the family's 1831-position model. The record is from RNAcentral.
CUCAUGGUUUCACGGUAUUGCAAUGAGAACAAUUUGAAACCCUUAGCGAGAAUCAAGUGGAGGACAAGUCUGGUGCCAGCACCCGCGGUAAUUCCAGCUCCACUAGCGUAUAUUAAAGUUGUUGCAGUUAAAAAGCUCGUAGUUGAACCUCCGUCUGGGGCUAGUUUUGGCUUUGGUCAGGCUAGUUCUAGGCAUCCGCCUACAAGACUUAGAGGGCAUUCAGUUGUUCACUAGGAGGAGUAGGCAUUUUACUUUGAAAAAAUUAGAGUGUUUAAGGCAGGCAAUCGCCCGCAUAUAUUAGCAUGGAAUAAUAGAAUAGGACACUUUUCCAUUUCGUUGGUUAUUGGAAUCGUGUAAUGAUUAAUAGGGACAGUUGUGGGCAUUUGUAUUUAAUUGUCAGAGGUGAAAUUCUUGGAUUUAUUAAAGACAAACUAACGCGAAAGCAUUUGCCAAGGAUGUUUUCAUUAAUCAAGAACGAAAGUUAGGGGAUCAAAGACGAUCAGAUACCGUCCUAGUCUUAACUAUAAACUAUUCCGACUCAAUGUUUGACUGGCUUAUAUAACCAGUUGAGCGUUGUAUGAGAAAUCAAAGUCUUUAGGUUCUGGGGGGAGUAUGGUUGCAAAGCUGAAACUUAAAGGAAUUGACGGAAGAGCACAACCAGGAGUGGAUUCUGCGGCUUAAUUUGACUCAACACGGGGAAACUUACCAGGUUAAAACAAUAGUGGGAUUGACAGUUUGAGAGCGCUUUCUUGAUUGGUUGGGUGGUGGUGCAUGGCCGUUCUUAGUUGGUGGAGUGAUUUGUCUGCUUAAUUGCGUUAACGAACGAGACCUUAACCUGCUUACUAGACUGGCGAUCAUCAAUCGUUAGCUCUUCUUAGAGGGACUUUGGUUGUUUUAACUCCAAGGAAGUUUGAGGCAAUAACAGGUCUGUGAUGCCCUUAGAUAUCCUGGGCCGCACGCGUCAUACAAUGACUAGUUCAGAAAGUUUUCUCCUGACCCGAAAGGGGAUGGGUAAUCUUGAUAAUACUAGUCGUGUUAGGGAUCGAUCUUUGCAAUUAUAGAUCUUGAACGAGGAAUUCCUAGUAAGUGCGGUUCAUCAGACCGCACUGAUUACGUCCCUGCUCUUUGUACACACCGCCCGUCGCUUCUACCGAGUGGGUGGUCCGGUGAGAUAAUUGAACUUCGC